GUCGAACGCUUCUUUCCUCCCGAGUGCUUGCACUCAAUUGGAAAGAGGAGUGGCGGACGGGUGAGUAACACGUGGGUAACCUACCCAUCAGAGGGGGAUAACACUUGGAAACAGGUGCUAAUACCGCAUAACAGUUUAUGCCGCAUGGCAUAAGAGUGAAAGGCGCUUUCGGGUGUCGCUGAUGGAUGGACCCGCGGUGCAUUAGCUAGUUGGUGAGGUAACGGCUCACCAAGGCCACGAUGCAUAGCCGACCUGAGAGGGUGAUCGGCCACACUGGGACUGAGACACGGCCCAGACUCCUACGGGAGGCAGCAGUAGGGAAUCUUCGGCAAUGGACGAAAGUCUGACCGAGCAACGCCGCGUGAGUGAAGAAGGUUUUCGGAUCGUAAAACUCUGUUGUUAGAGAAGAACAAGGACGUUAGUAACUGAACGUCCCCUGACGGUAUCUAACCAGAAAGCCACGGCUAACUACGUGCCAGCAGCCGCGGUAAUACGUAGGUGGCAAGCGUUGUCCGGAUUUAUUGGGCGUAAAGCGAGCGCAGGCGGUUUCUUAAGUCUGAUGUGAAAGCCCCCGGCUCAACCGGGGAGGGUCAUUGGAAACUGGGAGACUUGAGUGCAGAAGAGGAGAGUGGAAUUCCAUGUGUAGCG
This 648-nucleotide ribosomal RNA is filed under the name Enterococcus faecalis. RNAcentral describes it as "bacterial SSU rRNA". It matches the Rfam family "Bacterial small subunit ribosomal RNA", at positions 61 to 680 of the family's 1533-position model. Lineage: Bacteria; Bacillati; Bacillota; Bacilli; Lactobacillales; Enterococcaceae. The record is from RNAcentral.